RNAcentral lists this ribosomal RNA (420 nucleotides) under bacterium. RNAcentral's name for it is "partial 16S ribosomal RNA". It matches the Rfam family "Bacterial small subunit ribosomal RNA", at positions 355 to 776 of the family's 1533-position model. The record is from RNAcentral.
UGGGGGAUAUUGCACAAUGGGCGAAAGCCUGAUGCAGCGACGCCGCGUGGGGGAUGAAGGCUUUCGGGUUGUAAACCUCUUUCGCUAUCGAACAAGGCCCGCUUAGGGUGGGUUGAGGGUAGGUGGAGAAGAAGCGCCGGCUAACUACGUGCCAGCAGCCGCGGUAAUACGUAGGGCGCGAGCGUUGUCCGGAAUUAUUGGGCGUAAAGGGCUUGUAGGCGGCUUGUUGCGCCUGCUGUGAAAACGCGGGGCUUAACUUCGCGCGUGCAGUGGGUACGGGCCGGCUUGAGUGUGGUAGGGGUGACUGGAAUUCCAGGUGUAGCGGUGGAAUGCGCAGAUAUCUGGAGGGACACAGAUGGCGAAGGCAGGUCACUGGGCCAUUACUGACGCUGAGGAGCGAAAGCAUGGGUAGCGAACAGG